RNAcentral lists this ribosomal RNA (451 nucleotides) under uncultured organism. RNAcentral describes it as "partial 16S ribosomal RNA". It matches the Rfam family "Bacterial small subunit ribosomal RNA", at positions 333 to 800 of the family's 1533-position model. The record is from RNAcentral.
ACACUCCUGCGGGAGGCAGCAGUGGGGAAUAUUGGACAAUGGGCGCAAGCCUGAUCCAGUCAUGCCGCGUGAGUGAUGAAGGCCCUAGGGUUGUAAAGCUCUUUCACCGGUGAAGAUAAUGACGGUAACCGGAGAAGAAGCCCCGGCUAACUUCGUGCCAGCAGCCGCGGUAAUACGAAGGGGGCUAGCGUUGUUCGGAUUUACUGGGCGUAAAGCGCACGUAGGCGGACUAUCAAGUCAGGGGUGAAAUCCCGGGGCUCAACCCCGGAACUGCCUUUGAUACUGGUAGUCUUGAGUUCGAGAGAGGUGAGUGGAAUUCCGAGUGUAGAGGUGAAAUUCGUAGAUAUUCGGAGGAACACCAGUGGCGAAGGCGGCUCACUGGCUCGAUACUGACGCUGAGGUGCGAAAGCGUGGGGAGCAAACAGGAUUAGAUACCCCAGUAGUCCCAUGA